UGGGCGUGGAGUAAAGGUGAAAGACUUGAAAGGUGGAACUUCUUCAAAGGUUGAAUUAUUGUUUGCGCUACGUUCGACUCAAGAGGAAAACAAAUCCUUGAAUGAGACAAACAAGUCCUUGAAUGAUCGCUUGUCUGCCUUAGAAGAUGAGAUGAAAGAAAUUAAGAAAAUGAAAGAAUUAUUUGCUGCUCAACGAUCAUUUGUCCCGCCUACGACAUCGCCCGUUUCAUCCGAAUGACCACUGAUUUUGUCUGCUAACCAAGCUUGAUGAUGCUGUUGGAUUACACCUAAUGAAUUGAGAUUGAUUUUGGGGUAAGCGGUAUAACCACUACUAGUAUAACAUUUACAUAUUAUCUUACUAAUAGUUAUUCAGUCUUUUCAAAAUUUUGUACUUACAUGUUUUGAAGAUUAAAGUUACAAGUCAAGAUGCAAGUUUAGCAGAUGCACGAACUCAUUAUUAUUUUGCUAGGAAUGUUAUGUAGAACUCGGUAUCAUAGUCUAGCUUGGGUUGUUAGCAAUGUUUUUUUGUUAAGGUGUCGAGCAAAUAUUGAAACUAACAUCAUGGGAUGUUAACCAUUUUAUUGUAAUUAAUAUAACUCUCUUCCUCUCACUC
Lycium barbarum (goji berry) is the source of this 613-nucleotide long non-coding RNA. RefSeq lists it as uncharacterized. The record is from RefSeq and is a predicted model, not a curated record. Lineage: Eukaryota; Viridiplantae; Streptophyta; Magnoliopsida; Solanales; Solanaceae. The transcript has 2 exons.